This 424-nucleotide ribosomal RNA is filed under the name uncultured prokaryote. RNAcentral's name for it is "bacterial SSU rRNA". It matches the Rfam family "Bacterial small subunit ribosomal RNA", at positions 355 to 776 of the family's 1533-position model. The record is from RNAcentral. RNAcentral also lists the same sequence under 1 other name.
UGAGGAAUAUUGGUCAAUGGAUGAGAAUCUGAACCAGCCAAGUAGCGUGCAGGAUGACGGCCCUAUGGGUUGUAAACUGCUUUUGUACGGGGAUAAAGGAGCCCACGUGUGGGUUUUUGCAGGUACCGUACGAAUAAGGACCGGCUAAUUCCGUGCCAGCAGCCGCGGUAAUACGGAAGGUCCGGGCGUUAUCCGGAUUUAUUGGGUUUAAAGGGAGCGCAGGCCGUCGGUUAAGCGUGUUGUGAAAUGUAGGCGCCCAACGCCUGCACUGCAGCGCGAACUGGCUGACUUGAGUACGCACGACGUUGGCGGAAUUUGCCGUGUAGCGGUGAAAUGCUUAGAUAUGGCGAAGAACUCCGAUUGCGAAGGCAGCUGACGGGAGCGCAACUGACGCUCAUGCUCGAAAGUGCGGGUAUCGAACAGG